GGUCAAGCUAAUAAGGGCUAACGGUG
RNAcentral lists this ribosomal RNA (26 nucleotides) under Microcystis aeruginosa CST1-1. RNAcentral describes it as "partial 23S ribosomal RNA". Lineage: Bacteria; Bacillati; Cyanobacteriota; Cyanophyceae; Chroococcales; Microcystaceae. RNAcentral also lists the same sequence under 1 other name. The record is from RNAcentral.